UGCAAGUCGAACGGUAAGGCCCUUCGGGGUACACGAGUGGCGAACGGGUGAGUAACACGUGGGUAAUCUGCCCUGCACAUCGGGAUAAGCCUGGGAAACUGGGUCUAAUACCGAAUAGGACCACAGGACACAUGUCCUGUGGUGGAAAGCUUUUGCGGUGUGGGAUGGGCCCGCGGCCUAUCAGCUUGUUGGUGGGGUGAUGGCCUACCAAGGCGACGACGGGUAGCCGGCCUGAGAGGGUGUCCGGCCACACUGGGACUGAGAUACGGCCCAGACUCCUACGGGAGGCAGCAGUGGGGAAUAUUGCACAAUGGGCGAAAGCCUGAUGCAGCGACGCCGCGUGGGGGAUGACGGCCUUCGGGUUGUAAACCUCUUUCACCAUCGACGAAGGUCCGGGUUUUCUCGGGCUGACGGUAGGUGGAGAAGAAGCACCGGCCAACUACGUGCCAGCAGCCGCGGUAAUACGUAGGGUGCGAGCGUUGUCCGGAAUUACUGGGCGUAAAGAGCUCGUAGGUGGUUUGUCGCGUUGUUCGUGAAAUCUCACGGCUUAACUGUGAGCGUGCGGGCGAUACGGGCAGACUUGAGUACUGCAGGGGAGACUGGAAUUCCUGGUGUAGCGGUGGAAUGCGCAGAUAUCAGGAGGAACACCGGUGGCGAAGGCGGGUCUCUGGGCAGUAACUGACGCUGAGGAGCGAAAGCGUGGGGAGCGAACAGGAUUAGAUACCCUGGUAGUCCACGCCGUAAACGGUGGGUACUAGGUGUGGGUUUCCUUCCUUGGGAUCCGUGCCGUAGCUAACGCAUUAAGUACCCCGCCUGGGGAGUACGGCCGCAAGGCUAAAACUCAAAGAAAUUGACGGGGGCCCGCACAAGCGGCGGAGCAUGUGGAUUAAUU
This 892-nucleotide ribosomal RNA is filed under the name Mycobacterium gordonae. RNAcentral describes it as "bacterial SSU rRNA". It matches the Rfam family "Bacterial small subunit ribosomal RNA", at positions 56 to 951 of the family's 1533-position model. Lineage: Bacteria; Bacillati; Actinomycetota; Actinomycetes; Mycobacteriales; Mycobacteriaceae. The record is from RNAcentral.